This 843-nucleotide long non-coding RNA is filed under the name Homo sapiens (human). Its description in RNAcentral is "HSALNT0250776". Lineage: Eukaryota; Metazoa; Chordata; Mammalia; Primates; Hominidae. The record is from RNAcentral.
CAGGCCCGCCCCCUUCCCGGAGCCCAGGCCCCACCCCUAGCCCUGGCUCCACCCGGCGCGCAGGUGUCUUGGGUUGCGCUGGACAAGGGCAGCGACCCAGGCUGACCCACCUCCUCCGUCUCCCGGCUCUGCGGAACCUCACUCAGUGCGGAUCCCGGGCGCGCUCGCACACCUCACCCGCGUCGGCUUGAAGAAAUCCGGAAAGUGGGUUUGCCAUUCUUUUUUUUCAUCUUCAGAUAAACCAGAUCCAGUCGGUUAGCCUAAAUCCGCACUGCGCGCAAGGAAGAAACCCUGACGCCCAUCGGGGUGUGCACUUCGGCGUCCUCUUUUGUAAAGGGGAAUGAUCACACCUGCCUUUUCGGAUGUCAUGAGAAUUUAAUGGGCUCUCCCAGAAAGGUGCCUGGUAGCGGCAGGCAUGUCGGUACAUGGUAGUUAUUAAUUAUCAUUACUGUACAAAUUCCCAGACUGGAAAAAAGACAUGUGCUCCUAAAAGGACAGGCAAACAGGUAACAAGAUAAAUAAGAUCCGUAAAAGUAUUCUUAGUAUACAUUUUACAGUGUGCUUCAUUUGAAAUUUCCAGAUGUGAAAAACUUGUCCACAUCUUCCCUUCCCAGCUCUAGGAUUUCUGUGAUUUGCUUGUAUCCUUAUUGUUAGUGUCUGUCAAUCCUCCCAGAAUGUAAGAUCCUCAAAGGCAGGGUUCUUAAUUUUGUUGCCUGAUGUAUCCAAGGGUCUUUAGAACACUGCACGUAGUAGCACAUAGUAGAUACUAAAUAAAUAUUUCGUGAAUCACACAAAUGAGUAUGAGUUUUGUCUGGCGGUGGGGUAAGAUCGUUGAAAUGGAGU